Molecule: non-coding RNA, 29 nt
Filed under: Mus musculus (house mouse)
Lineage: Eukaryota; Metazoa; Chordata; Mammalia; Rodentia; Muridae
Source: RNAcentral
UGCCAGAUCAAAUAAGUGCCCUUAACUGU